CUUGUGUACAAUUUGGAAAUUAGUAUGGCGUUCAUUAUCACUGGACUAGUAUAUAUUUGUUUAGGGGCCAGCUGAAGGACGCCUCCGGGUGCGGGAAUUCUCGCUACAUUGAAGACCUGUUGGUGACCCUCUGCUGUUGUUUUUUAUUUGGGCGGGUUGUUGUCUCUUUGACACAUUCCCCAUUUCCAUUCUCAAUUUUAAGUGUU
This 206-nucleotide long non-coding RNA is filed under the name Mytilus galloprovincialis (Mediterranean mussel). The record is from RNAcentral. Lineage: Eukaryota; Metazoa; Mollusca; Bivalvia; Mytilida; Mytilidae.